This 380-nucleotide ribosomal RNA is filed under the name uncultured Streptococcus sp. RNAcentral's name for it is "bacterial SSU rRNA". It matches the Rfam family "Bacterial small subunit ribosomal RNA", at positions 1002 to 1382 of the family's 1533-position model. The record is from RNAcentral. Lineage: Bacteria; Bacillati; Bacillota; Bacilli; Lactobacillales; Streptococcaceae.
AGUAGAUAGAAAGUUACUUCGGUACAUCGGUGACAGGUGGUGGCAUGGUUGUCGUCAGCUCGUGUCGUGAGAUGUUGGGUUAAGUCCCGCAACGAGCGCAACCCUAUUGUUAGUUGCCAUCAUUCAGUUGGGCACUCUAGCGAGACUGCCGGUAAUAAACCGGAGGAAGGUGGGGAUGACGUCAAAUCAUCAUGCCCCUUAUGACCUGGGCUACACACGUGCUACAAUGGUUGGUACAACGAGUUGCGAGUCGGUGACGGCGAGCUAAUCUCUUAAAGCCAAUCUCAGUUCGGAUUGUAGGCUGCAACUCGCCUACAUGAAGUCGGAAUCGCUAGUAAUCGCGGAUCAGCACGCCGCGGUCGAAUACGUUCCCGGGCCUU